AUCGCUUUUCAGUCUUUUGGCUAAGAUCAAGUUUAGUAUUUGUUCUUAUCAGUUUAGAUUAGUACCCUGUUCUCUUUGAAGUAUAAAAAUAAGGUGAAUUUAAAAAGUCAU
This is a small nuclear RNA of 111 nucleotides. Its record names the gene U2. It matches the Rfam family "U2 spliceosomal RNA". Rfam says of the family: U2 is a small nuclear RNA (snRNA) component of the spliceosome (involved in pre-mRNA splicing). Complementary binding between U2 snRNA (in an area lying towards the 5' end but 3' to hairpin I) and the branchpoint sequence (BPS) of the intron results the bulging out of an unpaired adenosine, on the BPS, which initiates a nucleophilic attack at the intronic 5' splice site, thus starting the first of two transesterification reactions that mediate splicing. The record is from Ensembl.